GGCGGACUGGCGUAAUGGUUAACGCGCCAGUUUCCGGUGUUUGCACAGGGACCACAAGUGGUAGCUGGAGAUUUCUGGGUUCGAGUCCCAGGUUCGUCG
This 99-nucleotide transfer RNA is filed under the name Laccaria bicolor S238N-H82. It matches the Rfam family "tRNA". From Rfam's summary of the family: Transfer RNA (tRNA) molecules are approximately 80 nucleotides in length. Their secondary structure includes four short double-helical elements and three loops (D, anti-codon, and T loops). Further hydrogen bonds mediate the characteristic L-shaped molecular structure. tRNAs have two regions of fundamental functional importance: the anti-codon, which is responsible for specific mRNA codon recognition, and the 3' end, to which the tRNAs corresponding amino acid is attached (by aminoacyl-tRNA synthetases). tRNAs cope with the degeneracy of the genetic code in two manners: having more than one tRNA (with a specific anti-codon) for a particular amino acid; and 'wobble' base-pairing, i.e. permitting non-standard base-pairing at the 3rd anti-codon position. The record is from Rfam by way of RNAcentral. Lineage: Eukaryota; Fungi; Basidiomycota; Agaricomycetes; Agaricales; Hydnangiaceae.